AUGGCUUGGGAGAAAUCUGCAAUGCCAGGAACAAUAUCAAGGUUUGAAACUAACUCUUUUCUUCCGCAGUCGAUGGCUUGGGAGAAAUCUGCAGUGCCAGAAACAAUAUCAAGGUUUGAAACUAACUCUUUUCUUCCGCAGUCGAUGGCUUGGGAGAAAUCUGCAGUGCCAGGAACAAUAUCAAGUCGAUGGCUUGGGAGAAAUCUGCAGUGCCAGGAACAAUAUCAAGGUUUGAAAUUGCUGACCAGGAACAAUAUGGGGCACGUGCUCAAUCACAUCCACCCAGCCCCGAGAGCAGUUAUUCCAUCGCCCGGGUCGCCGUGUGCGUCGCGUAUUCAUACCAUAGUAAAUGACGCCCCGGGCCACUGCCUUUGUGUAUAA
Molecule: ribosomal RNA, 381 nt
Filed under: Triticum aestivum (bread wheat)
Lineage: Eukaryota; Viridiplantae; Streptophyta; Magnoliopsida; Poales; Poaceae
Description: partial small subunit ribosomal RNA
Source: RNAcentral